This is a long non-coding RNA of Herpailurus yagouaroundi (jaguarundi), 1925 nucleotides long. RefSeq lists it as uncharacterized. Lineage: Eukaryota; Metazoa; Chordata; Mammalia; Carnivora; Felidae. The record is from RefSeq and is a predicted model, not a curated record. The transcript is spliced from 7 exons.
AGCAACCCGGAGGAAGCGAAAGAGAAUUGGACGACUUGAAGGGAGGCGGGGAAGGGGAGGCCGGGGUAGGAGUUGGUUUGCUCUUGUCGGGGCUGCCCCAGACCUCUGUGUUCCAGGAUUGCAGCAGAGUUAAGUACAUACUUCUUUAUCGGGUGCGCCCUCGCUUCUAGGGCAUUCCUUUCGCGCUCUAUUGGCUUUACAGGAAGUGGGAGCUGCGCCUCGGCUCAGUUCGCCGGGACACGCCUUCCCGUCCUCCCAGCCCCCAGCCGGCCCCAAACCAAACUCCAUUCCCUGGUUGGGGGGUUCCCGCUGUGUGAGGGCUGGGCCUCGGGGUUUGGACCGGCAGGGGUUUGUACCGGCAGGGGUGACGUGCGUUCGGGAGUCGCAGCGGAAAGCGAGAAAGGCAGUGGGUGGAAAAGGGAAAGGAUGCAUUUGACAAAUCUGAUUCAUCUCUUCAGACCAAGUCCCCGCAACAGGAAAACAUAGUUCAUCAAGAAUUGGGAGACUUCAUUCAUUCCUCUUUAUUGCCAAGACUUUUCUGACUUACAACUUAAGGAGCUUAGGAAAAAACAAGCAAAUAAGCAAAAAACUACCUCUUUACUUGGACUGAAGUUCCUGAAUGCAGCCUUAACUAUCAUGGCUGUAGGUCAUGCCUGUCCAACCACAAGCCACAUUGUGCAGCCUCCUUUGCUGCGGAGUGUUUCAUGUGACUGAGCUCUUGAUACUGGAAUGCAUCAGAAGCUAUUUGUGCCCUUCUGGACUAUGCUUUCAAGGGACUAGACAUUGUGCACCUUUCCUCCUUCUUAUGGGCCAGGAUGGUGACAAGCAGAGUGACCUUAGAAGCCAUAUGUUUAGGAUGGCAGAAACUCUGUUCUGCCAAGUCCCUGAAUGACCUGCAGUUCAUGGAGCUGAACCCUUCCAAGCUGAAACACCCCUCUGAACCAUUUCGUUAGAGAGAAAUAAAGCUUCUAUUAUGUUUGAAUGAUUAUAUUUUAAGAAAAAGAAAAUGAGAGGAAGAGUCAGCAUCUGAAGAGAGAUGACUGAAGUUCUUCUAAUGGCGAUUACUAUGUGAAGAUGUCACAGGGCAUCAUGACAUCCACAGGAAAAAGAAAUUUCUGUCUCUGCUGGAACUGAACUGGAUGUAAAUCUCGCUGAAGCCCUCAGUAGGGGCAGAGCAUGAAGAUGCUGGUCGGAGGUACCCACCAAGGUGUGAGUGUGGAAAAGCUGCCGCUCCCUGGAAGUAAGAAGCUGGUAGCAGGGUUGGAACUAGCCUUUUAUUUCCUUGCAUCACCUCACCUUCUCAUCCCUCCAAGCCUUUUCUUUCCUGCCUCAAAACAAUGAAGCAAUGAACAUUGACCUGUAUAGCUGCUUCUUUGGACACAUGUGCAAAUGUUUUUUUCUGAUAAAUUCUUAGAGGACGACUUGCUGAGUUAAAGAUACAUGCAGGUGCGAGGGACAUUCCUGGGGAAGAGCCUUUCUUGGCCAUUUACCACAGUGUUUCCUUACUUAAACACCAAAUGGACUUACUAAACUGUACUAGGGCAGAUGGCACAGCAAGACUUAGUCUGUUCCAGUCCAAAGAGAUAAUUUAUGUAAAUUACAUGACCAUAGACAUUAUAUGAUAUCCUCUAACAUCCCUUUGACAUACCAUGGCAAUCUUCCUCCACCGCAUAGCAGUAUGGGAAGUGCCCUUCUAAGUCCUUUCCCAUACAUUUACUUCCUGUCUUAAGGAUCUUUGCAUGCCUGCUACUUUGUAAUACCUCUGCUAAUGAGUAGAGGAAGCUGCCUUCAGUACUCCAAAUGAGGAAAGAAAUGCUGUUACUGGAUUCCAUUCCUGUCUAUCAUCUUGUUCAAAAGGAGGGGAGUGAGUCAGAUCAAGAGAAUGAGUCACCAAGUCAUAGCCAAGGUGAUAAACCUCAAGACUU